RNAcentral lists this unclassified non-coding RNA (148 nucleotides) under uncultured fungus. RNAcentral's name for it is "sequence contains ITS1, 5.8S rRNA gene". The record is from RNAcentral. Lineage: Eukaryota; Fungi.
UCGUCGGGCUUCCAGCCCUGUCGAGAUAGCACCCUUUGUCCUUUUUGGCGCACUUAUCUUGUUUCCUCGGGCUGGCACCCCCGGCCCGCGAGGACCCAACCACAACCUUUGUAAUUACCCUACAGUCUGAUCUAAACAAAAAUCGUAA